UACGGAGGGUGCAAGCGUUAUCCGGAUUCACUGGGUUUAAAGGGUGCGUAGGCGGGUAAGUAAGUCCGUGGUGGAAUCUCUGAGCUUAACUCAGAAACUGCCGUGGAUACUAUUUGCCUUGAAUAUUGUGGAGGUGAGCGGAAUAUGUCAUGUAGCGGUGAAAUGCUUAGAUAUGACAUAGAACACCAAUUGCGAAGGCAGCUCACUACACAAUCAUUGACGCUGAGGCACGAAAGCGUGGGGAUCAAACAGG
Molecule: ribosomal RNA, 253 nt
Filed under: uncultured bacterium
Lineage: Bacteria
Description: partial 16S ribosomal RNA
Rfam family: Bacterial small subunit ribosomal RNA
Source: RNAcentral